UAGCAAGCUUAACCGUUUAGGGGAGGCGUAGGGAAACCGAGUCUUAAUAGGGCGCUCAGUUGCUGGAAUUAGACCCGAAACCGGGUGAUCUAUCCAUGGCCAGGGUGAAGGUUAGGUAACACUGACUGGAGGCCCGAACCCACUUAUGUUGAAAAAUGAGGGGAUGAGCUGUGGAUAGGAGUGAAAGGCUAAUCAAACCCGGAGAUAGCUGGUUCUCUUCGAAAACUAUUUAGGUAGUGCCUCGUGUAUUACCGUAGGGGGUAGAGCACUGUUUCGGCUAGGGGGUCAUCCCGACUUACCAAACCGAUGCAAACUCCGAAUACCUACAAGUAUGAGCACGGGAGACAGACUGCGGGUGCUAACGUCCGUAGUCGAGAGGGAAACAACCCAGACUGUCAGCUAAGGUCCCAAAUUAUGAUUAAGUGGGAAACAAUGUGGGAAGGCACAAACAGCUAGGAGGUUGGCUUAGAAGCAGCCAUCCUUUAAAGAAAGCGUAAUAGCUCACUAGUCGAGUCGGCCUGCGUGGAAGAUAUAACGGGGCUAAAUCAUAAACCGAAGCUACGGAUCUUAAAUUUAUUUAAGAUGGUAGAAGAGCGUUCUGUAAGCGGUUGAAGGCAUGCUGUAAGGCGUGCUGGACGUAUCAGAAGUGCGAAUGUUGACAUGAGUAACGAUCAAAGAGGUGAAAAACCUCUUCGCCGAAAAACCAAGGGUUCCUGUCCAACGCUAAUCGAGGCAGGGUGAGGCGGCCCCUAAGGCGAGGGCGAAAGCCGUAGUCGAUGGGAAACAGGUUAAUAUUCCUGUACUUUUUAUAACUGCGAUGGGGUGACGGAGAAGGUUAAACUAGCACGGCGACGGUUGUCCGUGUUCAAGGUUGUAGGCUGGUGUUUUAGGUAAAUCCGGAACGCUAAGGCUGAGAACUGAUAACGACCACUCUACGAGUGGGAAGUAGUCGAUACCAUGCUUCCAGGAAAAACCUCUAAGCUUCAGGUUAUAAGAAACCGUACCCUAAACCGACACAGGUGGUUAGGUCGAGUAGACCAAGGUGUUUGAGAGAACUAUGGUGAAGGAACUAGGCAAAAUAGCACCGUAACUUCGGGAGAAGGUGCGCCGCGUUUGGUGAUGAGACUUGCUCUCUAAGCUGAACGUGGUCGAAGAUACCAGGUGGCUGCGACUGUUUACUAAAAACAUAGCACUCUGCAAACUCGUAAGAGGAAGUAUAGGGUGUGACGCCUGCCCGGUGCCGGAAGGUUAAUUGAUGGGGUUAGCUUAUGCGAAGCUCUUGAUCGAAGCCCCGGUAAACGGCGGCCGUAACUAUAACGGUCCUAAGGUAGCGAAAUUCCUUGUCGGGUAAGUUCCGACCUGCACGAAUGGCGUAACGAUGGCCACACUGUCUCCACCAUAGACUCAGUGAAAUUGAAAUCGCUGUUAAGAUGCAGUGUACCCGCAGCUAGACGGAAAGACCCCGUGCACCUUUACUAUAGGUUCGCACUGGACUUUGACCUUACUUGUGUAGGAUAGGUGGGAGACUUUGAAGCAGAGACGCCAGUCUUUGUGGAGUCAUCCUUGAAAUACCACCCUUGUAAGAUUGAAGUUCUAACCUAGGUCCAUUAUCUGGAUCAGGGACAGUGCGUGCUGGGUAGUUUGACUGGGGCGGUCUCCUCCUAAAGAGUAACGGAGGAGUACGAAGGUAUCCUUAUCACGGUCGGACAUCGUGAGGUAAGUAUAAAGGCAGAAGGAUGCUUGACUGCGAGAUCGACGGAUCGAGCAGGUAGGAAACUAGGUCUUAGUGAUCCGGUGGUUCUGAAUGGAAGGGCCAUCGCUCAACGGAUAAAAGGUACGCCGGGGAUAACAGGCUGAUACCGCCCAAGAGUUCAUAUCGACGGCGGUGUUUGGCACCUCGAUGUCGGCUCAUCACAUCCUGGGGCUGGAGCAGGUCCCAAGGGUAUGGCUGUUCGCCAUUUAAAGUGGUACGCGAGCUGGGUUUAGAACGUCGUGAGACAGUUCGGUCCCUAUCUGCCGUGGGCGUUUGAGAUUUGAGAGGAGCUGCUCCUAGUACGAGAGGACCGGAGUGGACGAACCUCUGGUGUUCCGGUUGUCACGCCAGUGGCAUUGCCGGGUAGCUAUGUUCGGAAAGGAUAACCGCUGAAAGCAUAUAAGCGGGAAGCCUCUCCCAAGAUUAAAUCUCCCAGAGACUUUAUGUCUCCUAAAGAGUCGUCAUAGACUAUGACGUUGAUAGGCAAGAUGUGUAAGCGCUGCGAGGCGUUGAGCUAACUUGUACUAAUAACUCGUGAGGCUUGAUCAU
RNAcentral lists this ribosomal RNA (2302 nucleotides) under marine metagenome. Its description in RNAcentral is "bacterial LSU rRNA". It matches the Rfam family "Bacterial large subunit ribosomal RNA", at positions 638 to 2925 of the family's 2925-position model. The record is from RNAcentral.